GCCUGGCUGGCUCAGUUCGAAGAGCAUGAGACUCUUAAUCUUGGGUUGUGAGUUCAAGCCCCAUGCUGGGCA
Molecule: transfer RNA, 72 nt
Filed under: Felis catus (domestic cat)
Lineage: Eukaryota; Metazoa; Chordata; Mammalia; Carnivora; Felidae
Also listed under: 2 other names
Rfam family: tRNA
About the family: Transfer RNA (tRNA) molecules are approximately 80 nucleotides in length. Their secondary structure includes four short double-helical elements and three loops (D, anti-codon, and T loops). Further hydrogen bonds mediate the characteristic L-shaped molecular structure. tRNAs have two regions of fundamental functional importance: the anti-codon, which is responsible for specific mRNA codon recognition, and the 3' end, to which the tRNAs corresponding amino acid is attached (by aminoacyl-tRNA synthetases). tRNAs cope with the degeneracy of the genetic code in two manners: having more than one tRNA (with a specific anti-codon) for a particular amino acid; and 'wobble' base-pairing, i.e. permitting non-standard base-pairing at the 3rd anti-codon position.
Source: Rfam by way of RNAcentral